RNAcentral lists this long non-coding RNA (5273 nucleotides) under Homo sapiens (human). Its description in RNAcentral is "non-protein coding KCNJ2-AS1:3". The record is from RNAcentral. Lineage: Eukaryota; Metazoa; Chordata; Mammalia; Primates; Hominidae.
AGGAUGCUGCGAGGCGUUGCCAGCGGAGGGAACCUGCCGCCGCCUCGUCCCCCUCCACCCUCGGAGCCCGGCCGGGGAGUCGGGCCCGGGCCGGGGAGGAGGAAGUUGCGGCCCAGCUGGGACAGCAGCAGGUGGGAAGCUCCGCGCCCGGCUGUUGCGGCUGCCUGAUUGCAGCCUGGCCUUGGGCAAAGCUUCCUACUCCGUCUGGAGCCCCACACACUUCCCGGUUCCCCCGCUCUUGGGCCGCUUGCCCUGCGUGCUCCUCGAGGGGCCUGCGAGGUGCCAGCGCCGGGUAGAGACCUUUGCCGCAGGGGCAGGAUUGUUCGUCGGUCCCGGCGCGUCUCCCUCUCCACUCCCUCUCUGCCGGAGCCCCUCGGCCCUUCGAAGCCCCCCGCGGAGGCUGCAGCGCCCGGAGAAGCCACUGAGUCAAUGGGGCGAGGGACUGGGGCGGGCGCGCAGAGCCCCCAGGAUUGAGACGCGCGCAAGUGCGGCCACUGCAGCGCCGCUUGGCUGUUUGUUCUCCCGACUGUUCGCGAAUUACUUACAAGGCGCCUAGGCUUCUCCGAAGGGUGGACGGCUCGUUCCCUCUCGCCUUGUCCGCCCUCAGUCUCUCCACCACCGCCCGGCACGCUUUGCUGAUCUAAAAUCAGAACAAUUAGAGAGUAAUGAUUUUUUUUGGAAUAGCAACUCCUACAGACACUCAGAUCUGCCCUCGCUUCAGCGCCUCCCAGCCCUCCUUCCCAGCAGCCAGGCGAGAGCGCGCAGACCCCUAAAAAGCAACUUCAGUGUUAACCGGGUCUGGAUCCUGGAACUUUAUAAACUAAUCCGUGUGUGUGUGUGUGUGUGUGUGUGUAAACCGAAGAGUAAGUGCCUAUUAUUUCUGAGUACUUCGGUGUCCUAACGAAGCUUUGCUCCUAAAGGACAGGAUAUAUUUUAGGAGUCUUUCUUUCCACUGAGUUUUUUAAAUGUUUAUUUUCUCGAGCGAUCAAAUGUGUCUUUUGUGCAGUUUAUUUAAACCUCGUAAGGCCUCCUUGAGUCGCUGAACUAAUUCAGCAAACUAGCUGGUAUUGUGGACGGCGCAGUCGGGGUGGAUUUUUGUGUGUAGGAGAGGUGAAACUGACAAUUCAAGGAAAGGUUCUGUGCGAGUCCCCACCUCCCAUCCUCAUAUCCACACGUGGCCCCUAGGAGGUGCUGGUGAAAUAUGCUUGCUUAGGUUUCGCAGAUCCGCACUUACUCCUGCCUUAACAAGUGUGCCUUUUUUCUUAGCACUGAGCAAGGUACUUAAAUUAAAAGGGUGUGCAAGAGAUGAUGCACUCGGUGUGGCUGCUCUGAUAGCCAAAUGGCGAUGUGGUCCCAGUUAAUGUGUUGAGAUUAUACUGUUCACCAAGCCCUGUUACGAACUCUGUUGCCAUGCACGUGGGAAUAAUGCCUGCCCCAAGGGAGGUCUUCUUUAACAUCUAUUUAGUCAUGUGUUAUUUAUAAACAGCUUGAAUUAAUACUGUAAAAUAGACGGAUGUCUAAGAAUCUAGGCUGUAGCCUAAAGCUAAAUGAACCUGAGGGUAGACAAGUUCACUCUGUAUUAACCAAAGGAUAAUGAAUGAGUUCACCGCUCAGUUCAAUAAGCUUCUUCUGAAAUAUGCUUCCUCCUGGACUUCUAAGAAACAGGCCAAAAGUUUAAUUAUCCCUUAAAACAUGUUAAGCCUAAAUAGAAAAAGGAAAUUAAUCAUUUAUAGAUUUUCUCUUCUUUAUUAUGAUUCAGUUGGUGCAUCUGUAGAUGGCUAAGAAUUUUCCAAACCACGUGAAUUCAGAGAGGCAACACUUUUGUUGUUGUUGUUUUUCCAGGUAAUGAGCUCGCUUUGAAAACCAGUCACUCGGAAAGGGAUGGCAUUUUUAUGCAACUUGGAUUGAAAUGGUUUUGCUUUAGUAUUCUACUCUAAUUAGAAAGAAUACACCACAGGCCGAAAUAGUUUCAUAUGAUAGGAAAAUCUUUAAAGAAAGGAACACAGAGUUAUUAGAUUAUGGUUGGCUGUAUAAAUUUAGCUGGGCAGCGGGAGGAAGGUCAUAAUAAAUGUAUCCUGCUCUCUCUCAUCAAUUAUCAGCAGCACAUCCCCCAACAUUCUCUCCUCCCAAAGACUGAAGGAUGUGCAGCAAAGCUUAGAUCUUGAAGGAGAAGGUUCGGGAAAAAUUAAUGAUUUUAAUUAGAACUUUCCAAUCUAAGUAGAAUCAUUACCUUAAUUAGCUAAAUAAGGAAGUAUGAAGGAUGAAAUUUUGCAAAUGAAAUUUUGUAAAUGUAUGGUAGCGUAGAAUACCCCCAUUGCUUCAUUUUAAAAAAAGAAAAUAUAAAUGCAUUUUAAUUAAUAAAUGACUUUUCAUCAUGUCCCUAUUAGGAAAAUUCUGUGUGCCAAUGCUUUCAGUGUUUGAUUUAAUACAUCUUUUGAAGUGAUGCGUGAUGCAGAUUUCUGUAUUCAGAGUCUAUCUUUUUUGGCUGAAUCAGGCCUUAUUUAGCAAAAAUCCCCAUUAGUCUUGGACACGAAUGCAAUUGGGUGUUGGGAUCCAUCUGUGGAUUAAAUUUUUCCAAGGAAAUGACAAUUAUGCUCUUACUGAUUCUCUCCACGGUAACCACCUAUAAUAUUAGAGCCAAAUAUUAGUCACAAUCUGGAUCUGCAGUCAGAUUGUGAAUAGCUGUGUGACGCAGAAGGUGAUUGUUUCACUAGAAGCACAGAUCUUUCCUUUGCAUUUAUAUAAAGAUCCCCAACAAUUAGACAUACUUUCAGACUUACAUUAACCAUGUAUAUGCAGUUCAAAUUCACAAUGGUAAAACAUCAAACGCUCCUGGCAUUUGUAUCCACUGGAUAUUAAAAACCACUUUCUAAUCUUCAAAGUAAUCAUCAUUAGCAAUAAAUAGUAAAUAAAUCAUUGUCAGAUUGCCCGGAAAUGUAGACAGGCUGAGUUUGCAAUCUGCUGCUAUGAGAACAAGCCACUUACUGUGGUAUUUUAAGGCACUGUAUGUAAUCUUAUUUAUUGGAAAACAGUUUUGGCCUUUAGUUUCACUUACUGCAUUGAUAAUAUUUAAUCUUCAUAUUUUUAAAUUCAGUGAACGUAUUUGUUGAAAUAACUACGUUGUACUUUGGCUAUAUGCUAGGUGAGAUGAAAGACAGAAGUGUCCUAGCGGGAGUAAUUCCUCUUCUUAAGAGUUCAAAAUGUCUAACUGAGAAGAUGAACAAGGCAGAAGUGAAACAUUUAAAUGAUUAAACAACAAUAUAAGGCAGCUUAUGAUUAUGCACUAAAAUGGAUCAAGCAACAAAUAAAACGAUAAUCUUAGAUUUUGAAGAAUGGAAUGAAGCAGGGUAAGACUUUGUAAUGGAAGAUUUAAUACAUAUGACAUAUUACUAUGUGUAGUGGUAUUAAGGAUGCUGAGAACACGUCAGAAGAUAGGAGUGGCUCCUCAUUCAGUUAAUUUCUUAAAUGCCUGCUAUGCCCCAGACCUUUCUAUAUACAGGUAAUCAAGCAUAUGAAUUAUAAGUUGUUUCUAAGAAUAAAUGUCAGUUACAUGGAAAUGAAUGAAAGGAACAGUAUGUUUUAGUAUAACUUUUGAUGAUUACUCAAUAUGAUUAUAAUAAACAUAAGCUAUUUCAUUUUUUACCUGCAAUACAGUAGGCCUAUCAGGUUACAGUAGAGCCUUUUCUCCUGCAUUAAAUGACCCUAGACUAAGCUUAUUUAAGCCCUUCUGCUUGUUUUCCCUUCUCCAUCAAUGUGAGCCUUCCGUUCUCAUUUUUGCUUCUGAUAAUGUGCCUUGAAUCUGUCAGACUGUCACCAUGCUCUGCCUAAUUUGUUGAUUCUAAUCUGUGCUGGGCUGAUAAAUUAUGUAACCAAGGUUGCUAAAGUAAUGUACAAGCAAAUAUGAUUUAACAUAUCUAAAGAUGCAUUUUUGAAAUAGUAUGAGCAGAUGCUGAAUUUGGAGUUACCUUCGCUUGGUCAACCUCCUUUUUGGGUAAAAAAGCUUCAGGAUUUGGAUUUAUGGCAUCUAUUUUGCUUCUCAGAGCAUUUAAAUGGCUUAGUCUUUGUAUUUGCUGUUAUAAAUAGCUGAGGAAAACUUCUGAGUAAGUGAGAUACCCGCGUGUUUGCAACUAUCCAUAUGUUUAUAUGUACACAUAAAAUCAUGUACUGAUGUAUUGAGAAAAUAUUUCAGUGCUUACUUUAUCCGUUUAUUAUUAUGACCUUUAUUUUCCAUCAAAUAUGUUAAAACCAAAAUCAAUAAGUGGGGCUGUUCUUUAAGAAGCUCACACUUCCAGAGCCUCCAUGUUAUUAUUUAGUAAAUUACCUAUUCUGUCAUGCUCUGGAAGACUUCAUUUAUCUCACAUGAGUGAGACAAUUACACUCUGAAAAUACCAUAUUCAUUUUAGGGCCAGACCCUACAUUACUAUGUUUCUUGAUUCAGUGAUUACAAUGAUCAUUUCAUCUGUGUUUUCUGGGAUACAUUAGGUCUCCCAAAGGUAAUGAGUUUACAGCCUCGGUUUACCCUCUAUAACCACGGAUGGCAGUUCCUUAGAUCAGGUAGCCUUGCCGUAAGUGCACGUCAUUGGUUAGAAGAGGUGCCAGCUGAGAAAACAUCAAUCAUUAUGCACAGACUCAUCACUGCCACUGGGGAAAGGCAAGCCUUAUAACUGGAAGGGUGUAGUAUCAUCAUUUAAUCAUAGUAAUCAAGCAGUAAUAAGAAGACUAAUAAUAAGCUAGCCUCUACGGAGGGUUUUCCAGGAAACAAACACUGCUUUUGUGCUUUACAGGAUGUGCUAUUCUGAUGUUCUGUAUUGCACGUACAUUUGCAUGGGAAAAUAAUGAAGAGAGGGAAGAUAGGAAGGAAGGAGGAAGUAGAGGAGACUAGAAAAUAUUCAUUAGAAACUAUUGGUUCUAAAGGAGACACAAACACGUUCAGUAGCCACUAGGGAAAGUGAGACUGCCACCAGCAUCCAUAGUCACCCUCUACAGCACAGUAAGAAAUGCUUUCCAGUGAGAGGUGCCACCAUUAGCAAACUGAAUCUCAUGUUUAAAACACCUGUAAGAAUGUCUCUUUGCUUUAGUAAUACAUCUUUGGAAGAUCAUGAGAGUCAUGCAACUUGACUUUUUCCAGAACUUAUAAAAACAAAACAAAAAAUUAAAACAAACAACACAAACUUCAGACAGCCAAAACUAAUCACUAUUGUAGAUAUUUAUGGAAUAUGCCACAAGCUACGAGGAAAAUGCAAAACAUAUUUUCAGUAACGUCAACAACACUG